AGAGAGAGACAUGCGUGCAUAUCAAUAAGCGGAGGAAAAGAAACUAACAAGGAUUCCCCUAGUAACGGCGAGUGAAGCGGGAAGAGCUCAAAUUUGAAAUCUUAAAGGGUUUCCCUUUACGAAUUGUAGUUUAAAGAAGUGUUUUUCUGUUGAGGUUUUGGUAAAAGUUCUUUGGAAUAGGACAUCAUAGAGGGUGAGAAUCCCGUAUUUGACCUUUACUUUUCAGCUGUGUGAUACACUUUCAAAGAGUCGGAUUGUUUGGGAAUGCAGUCCAAAAUGGGUGGUAAAUUUCAUCUAAAGCUAAAUAUUGGCGAGAGACCGAUAGCGAACAAGUACCGUGAGGGAAAGAUGAAAAGAACUUUGAAAAGAGAGUUAAACAGUACGUGAAAUUGUCAAAAGGGAAGCGUUUUGACACCAGUGUUGUUUUUUCUGAAAAUCAAUUGAAAGAACUGUUUAUGCUAAGCUUGUUUAGACUUUAUCAGCUAAUCUGUUUAGUUUUGAGCUUUUCUUUAAUGCACUUUUCAGUUAACAAGUCAACAUCAAUUUCUUUUGCUGUAAAAAAGCUUGAGGAAGGUGGCUUGAGAUUCGUCUUAAGUGUUUAUAGCCUCUUGCCUAUGCAGUCGGAGAGAUUGAGGUCUGCAGCGUAGAUCCUUCGGGGCUAAAUGCAUUUGUGCUAAGUUAUAACAUUUUAUAGACAACUCGUUGACUAUGAUUUGUCUUGUAGCUUACUCGCUUAUGUUAUUUUACCUACGCUUAGGAUGUUGAGCGCAUGUCUCUCUCU
RNAcentral lists this ribosomal RNA (781 nucleotides) under uncultured Neocallimastigales. Its description in RNAcentral is "partial large subunit ribosomal RNA". It matches the Rfam family "Eukaryotic large subunit ribosomal RNA", at positions 23 to 616 of the family's 3401-position model. The record is from RNAcentral. Lineage: Eukaryota; Fungi; Neocallimastigomycota; Neocallimastigomycetes; Neocallimastigales.